Small nuclear RNA from Heterocephalus glaber (naked mole-rat), 147 nucleotides. Its record names the gene U1. It matches the Rfam family "U1 spliceosomal RNA". Rfam says of the family: U1 is a small nuclear RNA (snRNA) component of the spliceosome (involved in pre-mRNA splicing). Its 5' end forms complementary base pairs with the 5' splice junction, thus defining the 5' donor site of an intron. There are significant differences in sequence and secondary structure between metazoan and yeast U1 snRNAs, the latter being much longer (568 nucleotides as compared to 164 nucleotides in human). NCBI's taxonomy places the organism in Eukaryota, Metazoa, Chordata, Mammalia, Rodentia, Bathyergidae. The record is from Ensembl.
CCACUAGCUUUGGGGAAGAGCAGUUGGGAAGGUCAUGUCAAAUCUGGGGGAGACUCGGGAUGAGCUGACCUCUGCGAUUUCCCCAAAUGCGGGAAACUCGACUGCAUAAUUUGUGGUAGUGGGGGACUGCGUUCGCGCUCUCCCCUA